UUAAGCUAAGAAGAGCGUAGGGAGAAUGCCUUGGCAUUAGGAGCCGACGAAGGACGUGAUAAGCUGCGAUAAGCUGCGGGGAUCAGCAAGUAUGAAUUGAUCCGCAGAUUUCCGAAUGGAGCAAUCCGUAUGUGUAUGCACAUACAUCAUAUACUGAAUCAAAUAGGUAUAUGAGGGGAACCGCCUGAACUGAAACAUCUAAGUAGGGCGAGGAAGAGAAAUCAACCGAGAUUCUGUGAGUAGUGGCGAGCGAAAGCGGAAGAGGCUAAACCAUAGGUAGCAAUACUUAUGGGGUUUCGGACAGCAUUUAGCAUUGAUAAUUUCUAGUUGAAACGUGUGGGAAAACGUACCGAAGAGUGUGAGAGUCACGUAAGCGAAAGAGAGAAUCAGCGAGCUGUAUCCAAAGUACCGCGGGACACGUGAAACCCCGUGGGAAGAUGGGGGGACCAUCCUCCAAGCCUAAAUACUACCUAAUGACCGAUAGCGAAUAGUACUGUGAAGGAACGGUGAAAAGAACCCCGGGAGGGGAGUGAAAAAGAACCUGAAACCCUAUGCUUACAAGCACCGAGAGCACGUCAAAGUGUGAUCGGGUACCUUUUGUAGAAUGGUCCGGCGAGUUAUUGUAUGCGGCAAGGUUAAGUGCUUAAGGCACGGAGCCGAAGCGAGAGCAAGUCUGAACAGGGCGAGUAAGUCGUAUGCAAUAGACCCGAAACCGAGUGACCUAUCCAUGUCCAGGCUGAAGUGGAGGUAAAACUCCAUGGAGGGCCGAACACACGUCCGUUGAAAAGGCCGGUGAUGAGGUGUGGAUAGCGGAGAAAUUCCAAUCGAACUCGGAUAUAGCUGGUUCUCUCCGAAAUAGCUUUAGGGCUAGCCUCGUGAAAGAUUACUGGAGGUAAAGCACUGAAUGGGCUAGGGGUCGAAAGAUUACUGAACCCUAUCAAACUAAGAAUGCCAGAUAAUUGAUUCACGGGAGUCAGACAAUGUGAGAUAAGUCUCAUUGUCAAAAGGGAAACAGCCCAGACCCACAGCUAAGGUCCCUAAACAUUGUUAAGUGGAAAAGGAUGUGGGGUUGCAUAAACAACCAGGAUGUUGGCUUAGAAGCAGCCACUCAUUAAAAGAGUGCGUAAUAGCUCACUGGUCGAGUGACCCUGCGCCGAAAAUUCAACGGGGCUAAACAAUGUACCGAAGCUUGGGAUUCUAAAGUAAUUUAGAGUGGUAGGAGAGCGUCGAAUAAGGGGUGAAGUCAGAGCGGAAGCGCUGGUGGACUUUAUUCGAGUGAGAAUGCCGGAAUGAGUAGCGAGAAUUAUGUGAGAAUCAUAAUGGCCGAAAAUCUAAGGUUUCCUGAGGAAGGUUCGUCCGCUCAGGGUAAGCCGGGGGCUAAGGCGAGGCGGAGACGCGUAGCCGAUGCACAUACGGUUGAAAUUCCGUAGCCACCGAAAGAUUUAAGUACAGGGACGCUUUAGAAGUGAUGUAGCCGGGCGAUGGUUGACCCGGUCGUAAGGGAUCGAAAAUGAGUAGAGAAGUCAUCAUGGAAAGAGACAAGAAAAGCUGUAUGAAUAUCUUAGGUGCCCGUACCGCAAACCGACACAGGUAGAUAGGAAGAAGAUUCUAAGGCCAACGGGAGAAGGGUUGUUAAGGAACUCGGCAAGUUGACCCCGUAACUUCGGAAUAAGGGGUGCUCAUGAAAGUGAGCCGCAGAGAAUAGGCCCAGGCAACUGUUUACCAAAAACACAGGUUUGUGCUAAAUCGAAAGAUGACGUAUACGAGCUGACGCCUGCCCGGUGCUGGAAGGUUAAGAGGAGAUGUGCAAGCAUUGAAUCGAAGCCCCAGUGAACGGCGGCCGUAACUAUAACGGUCCUAAGGUAGCGAAAUUCCUUGUCAGGUAAG
RNAcentral lists this ribosomal RNA (1887 nucleotides) under human gut metagenome. RNAcentral describes it as "bacterial LSU rRNA". It matches the Rfam family "Bacterial large subunit ribosomal RNA", at positions 3 to 1980 of the family's 2925-position model. The record is from RNAcentral.